RNAcentral lists this long non-coding RNA (496 nucleotides) under Physcomitrium patens. RNAcentral's name for it is "long non-coding RNA (PPAT_LNC012881)". The record is from RNAcentral. Lineage: Eukaryota; Viridiplantae; Streptophyta; Bryopsida; Funariales; Funariaceae.
UAAAAAACUGCCUUCCUGUACAGCUUGCGUGGUCUGACAAGAGGAGGAAAGUGUUUUGCCCACUUUGUCUAUGAUGCUCUACGUUACAAGUUUAUCACUGUGAUUAAAUCAAUGCAGGAGCUGCCGGAGAUAUUCUGAGUGGGUUAGCAGCGUAUGGGAAGCUGGAUGAAGGGCAGUACUCUACAUACAUCAAGCAAGCUGAAGAUUACCUCCAGAAGUACUCCGGAGAGGACGCACCAGCCUCUGUUGCAAAGGAAGCAGCAGUUACUUCUGAUGCAGUUCCUGCUGCCGAAAAGGAGGCAUCUGAGGUUCCGGUAUCAGAGAAGGAAGUAUCUGAGGUUCCAGCGGCAGUGAAGGAAGUAUCUGAGGCUGCACCUACCGAAAGUGCUGUAGCACCUGCAGCUGACACUCCCGAUCGUGUGGCUACUUCCGAUGAGAAGGCCUAAACUAUAGCACCAAAAGCUUACCCUGUUUCCCCUGACCUUGAGCACUGCUG